This 765-nucleotide ribosomal RNA is filed under the name Juga interioris. RNAcentral describes it as "eukaryotic LSU rRNA". It matches the Rfam family "Eukaryotic large subunit ribosomal RNA", at positions 403 to 961 of the family's 3401-position model. The record is from RNAcentral. Lineage: Eukaryota; Metazoa; Mollusca; Gastropoda; Semisulcospiridae.
AACCGCCUAGAGGUAAACGGGUGGAUCCGCAAAGUCGGCCCGCGGAAUUCAGCUCGGAAGGCUGGCGCGGGCGGCGGGCAAGAGAUCUGAUCUGGGACUCUCCCGUCCCGCUCGUCCGCUGGUCGGCCGUGUGCACUUUCCGCGGGCAGAGCGCCACGACCGGUUCUCGGGCGGUCAGAAGGCGGCGAGGAAGGUAGGUGUGUGCCUCGGCGUGCACUGUUACAGCCUCGCCUGUCCCGAUCCGCUCGGGGACCGAGGAGCCGCCGUCGGUCGCGGCCACUCCGCUCUCUUGGGGAGUUCCACUGGCAGAGACUGGGCAACCGUGUCUGCCGACCGCUCUCUUGGAUGGUCGGAGCCGGGCCUGGCCGGCACAGGGUCGGUGGCGAAUCGGUCGGCCCUCCACCCGACCCGUCUUGAAACACGGACCAAGGAGUCUAACAUGCGCGCGAGUCGUUGGGUAGUACGAAACCCGAAGGCGAAGUGAAAGCGAGGGCGCGCCUCUGGUGCGCUCAGGUGGGAUCCCGCUCUACAGGCUCGCAAGGGUUUGUGAGUGGGCGCACCGCCGGCCCGUCUCGUCCGCGUUGUCGGUGAGGCGGAGCAAGAGCGUGCACGUUGGGACCCGAAAGAUGGUGAACUAUGCCUGAGUAGGAUGAAGCCAGAGGAAACUCUGGUGGAGGUCCGCAGCGAUUCUGACGUGCAAAUCGAUCGUCAAACUUGGGUAUAGGGGCGAAAGACUAAUCGAACCAUCUAGUAGCUGGUUCCCUC